RNAcentral lists this non-coding RNA (148 nucleotides) under Homo sapiens (human). The record is from Rfam by way of RNAcentral. Lineage: Eukaryota; Metazoa; Chordata; Mammalia; Primates; Hominidae.
GCCAGGCACAGUGGCGUGUGCCUGUAAUCCCAGCUACACGGGAGGCUGAGGCAGGAGAAUAGCUUGAAUCUGGGAGACAGAGGUUGCAGUGAGCUGAGAUCACACCACUGCACUCCAGCCUGGGUGACAGAGCCAGACUCUGUCUCAG